Molecule: ribosomal RNA, 156 nt
Filed under: uncultured soil bacterium
Lineage: Bacteria
Description: partial 16S ribosomal RNA
Rfam family: Bacterial small subunit ribosomal RNA
Source: RNAcentral
GGGAUGAACGCUGGCGGCGUGCUUAACACAUGCAAGUCGAACGAUGAAGCCGGAGCUUGCUCUGGUGGAUUAGUGGCGAACGGGUGAGUAACACGUGAGUAACCUGCCCUUGACUCUGGGAUAAGCACUGGAAACGGUGUCUAAUACCGGAUACGA